AUCGACAUGGGAUAUUGGUGUGGUUCAAUUAGAUUACAAUGUCUCCACAAGAUUGUAGAGUUUGAAAAUUUGAUUCAGCCAUGCCAAUAUCACAUGUAAAGAA
RNAcentral lists this microRNA precursor (103 nucleotides) under Nicotiana attenuata. The record is from RNAcentral. Lineage: Eukaryota; Viridiplantae; Streptophyta; Magnoliopsida; Solanales; Solanaceae.